AAUCAAAAGAUUUUUUCACUCCACAUAUGAGCUCUCUCACGUUUUUGCCUCCAAGUUUCCAAAUUUCCAAGUGCUCAAGUUUUCUAGCUUUCCAAAGCAUCAAAAGCUCUCCAACUUCUUCUAAUCUUCUUGUUCAUCUCUAUAAGUAAGAAGUGUUGUUUGCUUUAAUAUUCCACUCCUCUAAUCACCUCUUGUGUGUGUCCACUUUGGUUGAGAGGGUUGUCUCAAUAGUACCAAAGUGUGAGAGAAGGUUUUUGAGCUCAACCAUAAAGCUCUAGUUUGGUUUUAUAGAGUUUCUGGGAAAACUCUUAGGUCGAAUCUACCUUGAAAGAUUUCUAGGUUUUUAAGAGUUCCUUGAUACUCUAAGGUACUAACUUACCCGUAAAAUUUAGAGGUUUUUAAGAGUUCCUUUGAUACUCAAAGGUGCGAGUCUACCCGUAAAAGACUGGUUCCUAAGCGAAGUAGCCUUAAAGCUUAGAGAGGUUUUUAAGAAUUCAUUGAUACUAACCCUAACCCUAACCCUAAUUCAUUAAUACUCCAAAUAAGCUUAGAGCUUUAUGGUUGAGCUCAAAAACUUUCUCUCAUACUUUGGUGAUAUUGAGACAAACCUCUCAAGCAAAGUGGACACACACAAGAGAUGAUUAGAGGAGUGGAAUAUUAAACACAGAAAAUUUCUUACUUGUAAAGAUGAACAAGAGGAUUAGAAGUAGAAGUUGAGAAGCCUUUGAAGCUUUGGAAAGCUAGAACACUUGAGAAUUUUUGGAAGCUCUUUGAAAUGCUUUAGGUGUGGUGAACGAAAAUGAGAGUGUUACCCCUUUAUUUAUAGCCUUGGUCAUCACUUGUCCACCCUUGGAUCUUCAAUGGAUGCAGGUUCUUUGAUUCCUCACAUGAGUCCAAGACUUGUCUUCUCUUUUCUUGGGAAGAUUCUUUUGUUAAUAGUGGAUUUCAUCGAUCCGAAACAUCUUUUGUCUCCUUGAGAAGAUGCUUUGUGAUUAGUGGAUUAUAUCCAAGUUAUCUUUUUGUCCCCUUGAGAAAAUUAUUUGUGAAUAGUAGCUUGUGCUCAUGGAAUAUUGUAUUUUGAAUAAAGUGUUAGAGAUAAUAACAAUAAUUAUUAUAUUCAAGGUGUUUUAUGCAAUUGUACCAAUUCCAAUCUUGACUUUGAUCUAUACCUUUGACUUAAUUAAUUUAUUGAUUAAUUUCAAGUUAGGUCUAAUUAAUUUUGACUAAUUACAACAUUUAGAUUAAUAGUGUAAUUAGGGUUAAAAUUAACAUGAAUAAAAUAUAAUCCUUUGUCGACAAUUUUGAUUUUAUAUUCUCCCCUUUUGUCGAUGACAUAUAUGUUUUAAUUCAUGUUUAGUCAAUAUUUUAUCUUACCCUUAUGAGCAUGCUCCUCCUGAAUUAUUAACUCAUAAUAUUCAGUUUAAAAUAAUGGAUCAUAAUAUAUCUCCCCCUUAAAACAAUAAGGUGUUGACAAAGUAAAACUUGGUACAUAUGGAGUAUCUCCCUCUUAAUGAUAGAAUAUAUCGAAUUUGUGGAGAAAAUAAAAGUUCAUACCUCAUUAAGCUUGAUCACAAAUUUGAAUUUCGUGGUUGAUCAAAUGUGACAUUUGCUUAUAAGAAUGUUAGUCAAUCAUAUAGGAGAAAUAUAAUUUUGUUCAUUUGAGAAAAUAUAAUAUGAAGGUUAAUUUUGAUAUACAUUUUAAGGAAAGUAUGAUAUGAUAAUUUUUAUUGUCUUGUGUUAAGAUCAUGAAAAAUGAAUAAUAAUUCAUGUGUGUUAUGGAUGAAUUGAUGUUAACAUGUAUGUAGUAUGGAUUAAAGAUUUUAUAAUGUUAUAAUCCAUAAGAUAUUUUAGUGAAUGAUAUGUAUGCAUAAAACAAUAUUCACUAAUAACAUUAAGAAAGAUUUGUUUUUAAGCCCUUAGAUUUCUUUUAAAAUCAAUGUCUUAGUGACUAAUAUCUAUAACCAUGUUAAUAUUCACUAAGUUGUAAGAAUUUUAAUUUCAGCGCUUAACGUUUUAAUAAUGAGUUUCACUUAAAAAAAAUUCACUUAACCCCUUUAAAGUUAUAAUAAAUACAAAGUGAUUAAUACUUCAUGAAAAAAUUUCAUUUUAUGUCUUGGAAGUAUUAAACAAUCAUGGGUAUUUGCUGAUUUAAAACUUCACUUAAAAAAUUUAGUUUAAACUCUUUGAAGUUAUGAUAAAUACUAAAAAAAUUUCAUUUUAAACCUUGGAAGUAUUACAUAAUUCUAAGCAUUUUCCGAUUUUUAAAACUUCAUACAAAUAUUUAUUCUAAGUCCUUGAAGUUUUAAAUAACUAUUCACUGAAAAAAUAUAACUUAACUCCUUAAUAUUCAGCGAAUUAAUACCUUGUAUUAUUGCUUCAUAAGUAUUUUUCAUUCUAUUCCUUGAAGUUAUAAUACUUAACCAUGCAGUCCUUUAAUAUUUUAUAUUUCUGUCAACACUGGGAAUCUGUCAACAGUGGGAUUACCAAGUCGCCGACUCCAGAGGUGAUCCGCCGAUUCUAGGCCUCGUUGGUCAGUUCUGGUAGACUGCCAACCUGGCUCAUGGGGAAUCGAUGGUCUCACUCUGAGUCGCUGACUCCCAUAGCUGAGUCGCCGACUCCCAUAACUGAGUCGCCGACUCCCAGCCGUUACUUGACUUGGCCCACGCUAUUAUUGCACCCUUAAUGAGGCACUGAUGAAGCACGAAAUCUGCUACCAAUAGGCUCGCGGGGUUGCGAGGAGGGCCGGAGGCUUUGGAGUCCACGACGCGCGCUCUACGUCAAAUACCUGCACAAGUGGAGGGGAGUCGGCGACUCAUGUGUGGGAGUCGGCGACUCGGGCUCCUUUGUUCUUUGGUGUGGAGUGUUGUGAGUCAAGGUGACUUGUUGUGAAUGGAGGACACCCCUAGGACCCCUUUUAUAGGGUCCUAGAGGCGUUUCCAUUCAAUUGAGUGGGGCCCACCCCAUUAUGGUAUCCUAUUGAAGGGUGCCAUAAUGGUGUGCGCCCGCCCGUGUAACAGCUGGGAGUCGGCGACUCAGGUGUGGGAGUCGUCGAUCCAGAGGUGGAGUCGCCGAUUUCUUUGAGGCCAAGUCCUCGGUCUACCAGACCCGAGUUCCCUGGCCGGAUCGGCGAUACACCUCUGGAGUCGGCGACUCUCAAGUGUUGCCUUGGGCUCUUGACGUAGACACGUGCUCCGCACCGUGGAAGCCUUCCGGGGGUCCGGCAUAUAGCAACGGAACCCUAUUCCUUGUUUGAAGGGCGUUGUUGGGAGUGACUGACGUAAUCAGGCAUGUCUCGCCAGUACUCCCUCUUGAAGAGAGCAUAGGAGACAUGUGUGUAACGCCAGUAUCCCCCCCCAAGCAAGGUGAUCCGCAUCAAGGCCAAAGCGACAAGAUGGGAUCAAAUCAUUGCGGCCACAACGACACAAUGACUCCGUUAUCCAUGCACUAUUAGAUGGAUUGAUUCACUAUCAGAAUCUAGUUUCAGGCCAAUAGAACUACAUGUUUAUAGUCCAACUCUGAUCAGGAGUGACUCUUUCUGUGCUAUCAUUAAGGCCAAAGAGACAAGAUGAGAGGAGAUUAUUAAGGCUAAAGCGACACAAUAAUUCCCGUCCAUUAAGGCCAAUGCGACAAAAUGGUCCGACUCACUAUCAGAGUCUGAUUCUGGCCGAAGCGACAGAAUGCGUGGAUCCUGGCCAAAGCGACAGGAUCUAGUUCACUAUCAGAACUGAUGUUUAUAGUCCACCCUGAUCAAGAGCGACUUUACGUCUGCAACGACGGUUACCCCACCAAGGCCGAAGCGACAAAGUGGGUCGAGAUCAUUAAGGCCAAAGCGACAAAAUGAUCUUCAAGUCUAUCAAGGCCAAAGCGACAAGAUAGAAAAAUUAUUGAGGCCAUUAAGGCCAGAGCGACAAAAUGAACCGACUCAUUAUCAGAGUCUGAUUUUGGCCAAAGCGACAGGAUCAUUCCUACAAAACAAAAUAACCUGCAAAACAACUGUAUCAGUCUAAAGGAUAUAUUUAUUGAUUUACUGACCUUGUCGUGCGGGGCUGCUCCUCGUGCUGCUCCUCCCUAUGCUCAAUAAAUCCUUGAUUGAUCUGGCCGGAGCGCCAGAUCUAUCAUGCUCAUAAUGUGACAGCUUCUGGCCAAAGCGACGGAAGUGUCGGGAAGAGCUUAUGAUACUCCCCCCCGAGUUCGACGACUUCUGGCCAAAGCGACAAAAGUAUCGGGAAGAGCUUGUGAUGCUCCCCCCUUGAGAUCAUUAAGGCCUAAGCGUCAAAAUGACCUCUGGUCUACUAAGGCCGAAGCGACGAAGCAGACCGACUCACUAUCAGAGUCUGAUUCUGACCAAGGCUACAGAUCCACUAUCAGGAUCCGAUUCUCGCCUCGAAUACAGAACCUGCUGAUUCACUAUUAGAAUCUGAUUCCGGUUGAGGCUACAGAUUCACUAUCAGAAUCCGAUCCUAGCCCGGACUACGGAAUCUUACCUGCAAAAAAGGAAAGCACUCUGCAAAACAACUAGAUUAGUCCAUAAACGCAUAUAUUUAUUGUUGAACUUAAUAUGCGAUUUACCUUUCGUGAUGCCCUUCCUUUGCUCAAAUUUUUUGACGACUUCUGGCCGAAGCGACAGAAAUGUCGGGAGAGCUUGUGAUACUCCCCCCGAAAUUUGACGACUUCUGGACGAAGCGACAGAAUUGUCGGGAGAGCUUGUGAUACUCCCCCCGAAAUUUGACGACUUCUGGCCGAAGCGACAGAAUUGUCGGGAGAGCUUGUGAUACUCCCCCUCGGCAUAAAAAUGUGUUCUGGUGAAGUGGUAGGAGUGUUGGAGAGAGUUUGUGAUACUCCCCCCGAAUUGUGACAACUUCUGGCCGAAGCGACAGAAGUGUCAUGGAGAGUUUGUGAUACUCCCCUUGGAAUGAGACGACUUCUAGCCAAAACGACAGAAGUGUUGAUGAGAGUUUAUGAUACUCUCCUCCAAAGAUGGGCGAGACGACUUCCGGCUAGAGUGACAGAAGCGUCGGAGAGAGUUUGUGAUACUCCCCCUGAAAUCGUACCGUUGUGACAGAUUGUAGAGUUAUGCUUUGGAUGUUUGUGCCCGAGGCGAUAGAAGUAUUGAGGAGAGCUUGUGAUACUCCCCUCGAAAAUCAUGUCAACCCGACAACUUUUAAAAUAUUGGUGUAACGGAGGUAUUGGAGGGAGCUUGUGAUACUCCUCCCGAGAAUCAUGUCGUCGUGACAUAUGACUUUUCGGAAUAUUUUGCAAUCUUUCUAUUUUGAUUAUCAAUGAACUAUCUUUUGUCUUUUCUUUGCCAAUCUUCCAUAUAAACUAUCUUUAAAUUGUAACCUAGGCUCGAAACUAGAUUCACAAGCCGUAACUUAGCCACUCUGGACGUAAGUUAGACUCUGCUAACCCGCGGUUAGCCAGUCGGGACGUAAACUUGGUCGUACGAAUCGUAGUUCAGUCAUUGGUUAAAUUUGCGGAUAAUUUAUAUCUCCAAAUUAACGCAGAGUUGCAAAGAAUAGUACAAAUAAAUCAAAAAUUAAGAUGCACAAUAUUAUUUGGAAUCCUAGGGUUAGAUCCGCAAUUUAGGACUACAAUUCUGGAUUUGAACCCUGGUGUUUUAGCCAAGCUCCAGCCAUAGCGAUAGAGUGACUCUCGAUCCUCAUCAAGGCCAUAGCGACAGGAUGGGAUAUGAUCAUUAAGGCCACAGCGACAAAAUUAACACCAGGGUACCAUUGAUUGUAGUCGCAAAUAUUUAGAAUCUCAUGGUUUGAUUCGUAAAUCGGAGUCGUAAUUUAGAUUCUUAAGUCGCACCAUGGACUUGUAAAUCGUAAACUUGACUUGUAAUCGUAAUUUAGACUCUUUGUCGUAAAUUAGAUUUUGAAAGAGAACUUAGAUUCGUAAAUACUUGGAAUCUUAGGGUUUGAUUCGCAAAUAUUCGUGAGAGUCGUAAUUUAGAUUCUUAAGUCGCACCUUGGACUUGUAAAUCGUAAACUUGACUUGUAAUCGUAAUUUAGACUUUUUGUCGUAAAUUAGAUUUCGUAACUAUCACCUUGACUCGUGGGUCGAACAGAUGAUAGAUAAGGUCGAAGCGACGGAUGUCAUCCAGCCGAAGCGAUGGGUGAUUGAUCCGUCUGAAGUGAUGAAUGAUUAUUCUAAAUGUGGCAUACAUAUCGCAUAAUACCUUCAUCUANNNNNNNNNNNNNNNNNNNNNNNNNNNNNNNNNNNNNNNNNNNNNNNNNNNNNNNNNNNNNNNNNNNNNNNNNNNNNNNNNNNNNNNNNNNNNNNNNNNNAGUUCUUUUGAUGUUUGGUUGCCACUGAGUUUGGGCACUCCUAUCUUUCUUCUGACGGAUAAUAGUUACCCACUAUUAGCGUGACACACUUGAUUGUGAGUGUGAGUGUGAACUGUGGCUUUGGUUGCCAUCACAGUCAUAGGAUGGAGAGCGUAAGCUAUGGCUUUGGUGGCCAUAACUUUUACCAGACUGAGAGUGUGAGCUAUGACUUUGGUGGCCAUAACUGCUACCAGACUGAGAGUGUGAGUUAUGACUUUGGUGGCCAUAACUGCUACUGGAUUUAGGGUGUGAGCUAUGACUUUGGUAGCCAUAACUGCUACCCGGAGACUCCUCGCUGUAUCGAAGAAGACUAGUCGAGGUUUCGGAUUGGGAACUUGUAUCCUCGUAUGCAUCUUCUUUAGCAUAGCGAGGUUUCUUCCGGCUGGACGGCUCGAGUUCGUCCAGCUUGUCAUUGUUCUCCUCUUCUAUCUCAAUAUACGAUUGAGCUCGUUGGAAGAGGUCGGGCAGGGUCUCCACUUUAUGGAGCAUCAGAUACCAACCCUCUCACGUAUCCUGCUAUGGCCAGACUUGGAAUUAGAUCGUUCACUUCUGUCAUCAUCGAAGUGAACUUAAUCGUGUAAUCACUCAGAGACAGCUUGUUCUGUCGUAGUGCCAGUAGUGCGUUGGCACUGUGUUUUAUUCUGAUCAUCCCCACAUGUUGGGCGAUGAACUUGGAAGAGAGGUCCGUGAAGCUAGAGACUGAGCCAGCCGGCAGACCGAAAAACCACCGAUAUGCGUUGCCUCUCAGAGUGCCUGGGAAGGCCCGACACAACAACCCAUUAUCGGUAGUUUGCGGCUCCAAGAUAUUCAGGUAGAGGUUAACAUGAUCCUCAGGAUUUGUCGUUCCAUCGUACGAGUCUAUCUUCGGACACCGCCAAGAUUGCGGAAAAGGUUUUCUCAGGAGGUCCCUAUGAAAGGGUGCCCUUCCUAUUCUGAGAAGAUCAUGUGGGUCCCUUAGGUCAUGCUUGUCUUUACGAGGCAUUUCCUUGAUUACCCUAUUCAUGAGUGUGGCAUCGUAAUCCGCACGAGUCGUGGAACUCGAAGGUACACCCGAGUGAUGUACUGCGGACCUGUGGUGAGAACCGAGAUGCUUGUGUCUCUUUGUUUCACCGUGGUUGUCUCCCAUAGGAGAGUGAUGCGAGUUGGAUUUGGGUUUCCCUGAGACUGAAGGACUCUUUCCCUUGAGCUCUCGAAGCUCCUUGGGUAUCCUUGAUUCGGACCGAUGAUGCGUACUUAAGUUUGUCUUCCUCAAAUGUGGGUUAGACUUGCUUGUCGUACAUCGUAUGGUGGUCCGGCUCCUUGGAGCCUCUAGGUUGGUUAUCCUUUUGUCCAAUUUCAACAUGAGAGCAUGCAUGUGCGCAAGCCUUUCCUGUGUUGUCGGAGUUGGAUUGACACCCCCAUUUAGUGGGAGUGGUGAGGACACCUCAUGUGUAGAUGAUGGUGCAUUAGACUCUACAAGAAAUAAGUCCUUGUAUGGCGGUCUUUAGAUGGCGGAUUUCCGCCAUCUAAAGUGAUCGUCGGCGGAAAUCCGCCAUCUAGGACAUCGCCAUUAAAACCCCAUAACCGCCAUAUAAAGACCGCCAUCUAUUAUCCAUCCCCAUUUCCCACCAAAAAUUGUAUAGAUGGCAGAUUUCCGCCAUCUAAUCUGAAAAUUUUCGCGGGAACUGAAAUUUUUUUUCCGCCAUCUAAAAUAUGGCGCGGAAAAAGUUUGGCGCCAAUUCAUUGAUGGCGGUUAAUUUUAUUGAUGGCGGAUGUCCGCCGACUAUCCUUGUAACAUUAGAUGGCGGAAAUCCGCCAUCUAAAGUAUAGCAGGCGGUUCCCUAUUAUUAUAAAUGGCGGAUAUCCGCCAUCUAUUCGUGGGAGAGGACGAUUGUGCCCAUAUUAGAUGGCGGAUUUCCGCCAUCUAAAACUAAGUAGAAGAGUAUAGAUGGCCGAAAUCCGCCAUACAAUGUUUGUUUCAUGUUUUUUAAAAAAAAUAGGAUUCUAUAUUUUGCGUUCGAAUCGUUGUUUUUUGAAAUAGAAAUCGAUAUUUGAGAAAGCGAUUUUGAAAUUGAAAUUGAAAUCGAUGUUUUUUAUUAAAAAGAAAUUAAAUUACAGAAUCGUCAAACAUUCGAAGUUUGAAUAAGAAAAAAAAAAUCGUUUAAUCAACACUCGUCUGAAAGCGAGUCUUCUGAAUCAGAAUUUGAAAUAUCUGAUCCGAAUGCAGACGGUAUAGUGGACUUUGAAGUAGAAGCCAUCUGCGUCAUGUCGAGUCCGGAAGUCUUCAAAGUCUUAUUCAGUUUCUUCAUAUAUGAUUUCAUAGCAUUGAACUUUUUCUUGUAUUUGGAGACGUCUUUCUGACUCUCGUUACACUUGUUCUGAAAAUGAAAACAAAAAUGAGUUCGAUAAUCAACAAAAUUAUUGAAAUAUAUUGUAAAUACCUCCAAUUCUUUGAAUUUUUCCGACCAAACUGCAUCUGGUGUUGCAUCAGUAGUCGUGUUUUCGGAGACCGGCUCUUUUCCUUUCCAAGUUGGAGAAGCCCAUCUUUUGUUCGUUGUGCUUACCAUACUUGCAGCUUCUCCAAUUCCUAUUAUUCGAUUCUUCUUAUUUUUUCCGAAUGUCUUGUUGACCGUCGCUUCGAUAAAUUGCUGCAUUAUAAAAAAAUAAAAAAAUAAGAAAUGCGAAAUAUAUUUAAAAUAAUCAAUGGAACUUACAAAUGGAGUCAUUGAUUCAGAUUCAGCUCACGAUUUUGCCUCUUGACUUUUGAUAAAUUCCGUGGCUUCAAGCUGAAAGAAUAACAAAAUCAAGCAAUGAUAAUAGAAAUUAUAAAAUAUAAAUAAUUUUAAAAAAAUACUUACAACUUUAUCGCUUUCCUUUUAUGUCAUUUGUAAAGUCUCUGACCAAGCUUCGACUUCACUCCUUCCUUGUUGCAUCUAUAUUCACAUAAUUCAUUAAUA
This 9265-nucleotide long non-coding RNA is filed under the name Zostera marina. Its description in RNAcentral is "long non-coding RNA (ZMAR_LNC000545)". The record is from RNAcentral. Lineage: Eukaryota; Viridiplantae; Streptophyta; Magnoliopsida; Alismatales; Zosteraceae.